AGCAAGCCAGUAAUUAGUAUUAGGCUCUUUUCGCCGAGGGAUCGGGUUAAGGGUAGGCUAAGAAAGUUGCAUGACAAUUAAUUAAUCAAAUUAAUAAUUAAAGAAGAGUAGAUAAAAGAGAGAGGAUUAGAUGAAAUUGUAAACCCCCAACAACUCCAUUCAUCCAUUGUUUUCUUUUGUCAAUUGAAUCAAUCUCUUUUGCAUGUUAAUAUUUUUGUUCUCAAAUCAAAUUAAUUAUUUUUAUUUUCAUGUCUUAUUAUUUUAAUUCACGUGAACGAGAAAGCCUUUUGAGUCUCUUGGGAAAAACGAUAUUGGGUUUUACCAAUUAUAUUACUUGAACGAUUUGGUACACUUGCCAAUCCGUUAACAUUCACCACAUAUACUCUCUGCUCGACGCGUAGCUCAUUUCCUCCAUCAGGCGCUUACAUUAGCUUCCCAAGCCACAACUUCAAUUUCCUCUCGCGCUUCAUACACACCAAUUCAUUUUCACAUUUUCUCCUUUCGCAGAAACCUAGUCUCAGCUAGGUUUUCUUCUCCUCAAGCACAUCAUCACCACAGAUCUGUCGCCUCUCCUUCAUAAGCAUUAAUUUUCUUCACAUAUUCAUUCUCUUCCACCAUUUGCUAGGUUUUUCCACCGAUUGAAAACUUCUGUUCACUAUUUCCACCAUCUUUCACUGUUUGUUCCGCCUUUUAUUCUGAUUAAAAGCCUUUUCACCGAUCAUUCUUCCUUUCUCACCAUGCAAUAGUUGUUUUGAACCGAUUAAUCAGUUCAAUCAAUGUCUUCUACUUGUUCUAGGGUUUUCUUCGUGUCUGAUUAGUGUUUCAACCAUUCACAUCUGUUUUCUCUCG
RNAcentral lists this long non-coding RNA (849 nucleotides) under Vigna radiata. RNAcentral describes it as "long non-coding RNA (VRAD_LNC001095)". Lineage: Eukaryota; Viridiplantae; Streptophyta; Magnoliopsida; Fabales; Fabaceae. The record is from RNAcentral.